Molecule: ribosomal RNA, 254 nt
Filed under: uncultured bacterium
Lineage: Bacteria
Description: partial 16S ribosomal RNA
Rfam family: Bacterial small subunit ribosomal RNA
Source: RNAcentral
UACGGGGGGAGCAAGCGUUGUUCGGAUUUACUGGGCGUAAAGGGCGCGUAGGCGGCCACCGCAAGUCACUUGUGAAAUCUCCGGGCUUAACCCGGAAAGGUCAACUGAUACUGCGGGGCUAGAGUGCAGAAGGGGCAACUGGAAUUCUCGGUGUAGCGGUGAAAUGCGUAGAUAUCAAGUGGAACACCAGUGGCGAAGGCGAGUCCCUGGACAACUCCUGACACUGAGGCACGAAAGCUAGGGGAGCAAACAGG